This is an RNA transcript of Elaeis guineensis (African oil palm), 1592 nucleotides long. It is a transcript of the gene named thioredoxin-like protein AAED1, chloroplastic, with no coding region annotated. The record is from RefSeq and is a predicted model, not a curated record. NCBI's taxonomy places the organism in Eukaryota, Viridiplantae, Streptophyta, Magnoliopsida, Arecales, Arecaceae.
CUGGCGGGUGUAUCGCCGGUGUCGUCCCCAGCCACAAAUGUCGCUCUCGCUCUUCUUUCCUCCUCCUUCCGCCGCCGUGUUUUUCUACCCAGAAAACUGGAGACAGAAAAAGAAUCAUUAAAUCGAAUUAAAUCAAUCGGUUAAGUUAGGCCUCCUUUCCGCUCCUCCCCGAAUUAAAUUAUAUGGCGACCUUCUCCCUCUCCUCCUCCUUAUCCCCUUCGCCUCGUUCUCUUCUGCCCUCCUCUUCUCCUCCAGAUGCCCUUCCCCUCUCCAUCUCCCGCCUUCGCCGUCGUCUCCUCCCUCCGGCGAUCCGCCGGACUGCCGCGAUGGGCUCCUCUCCCUCCGCCGUCAGGGCUUCUCCCACGUCCGGCUUCGACGCGACCGCCGUCGACGCUCUCGGCGAUGUCAGCAUCCUCGCCGCCUCCACCGGGGAGCCGGUCUUCUUUAGGGAUCUUUGGGAUCAGAACGAGGGAAUGGCUGUGGUUGCACUUCUGAGGCAUUUUGGGUGUCCUUGCUGCUGGGAACUUGCUUCUGUUCUGAAAGAUGCAAAACCAAGAUUUGACUCGGCUGGUGUUAAACUAGUUGCAGUUGGUGUUGGUACUCCUGACAAAGCUCGUAUUCUUGCUGACCGGCUACCAUUUCCACUGGAUUGCCUUUAUGCAGAUCCAGACCGCAAGGCAUAUGAUGUUCUGGGCCUAUAUUAUGGUUUGAGCCGUACCUUUUUCAAUCCAGCCAGUGCCAAAGUGUUUUCAAGAUUUGAUUCUCUCAAGAAAGCAGUAAGGAACUAUACAAUUGCAGCUACUCCAGAUGAUAGGGCCAGUGUCCUGCAACAGGGCGGUAUCUUUGUAUUCAAAGGGAAGCAGUUGUUGUAUGCAAGAAAAGAUGAAGGGACUGGUGAUCAUGCACCUUUGGAUGAAAUUUUUGAUGUCUGCUGCAAGGUUCCAGUUGCAUGACUCUAGUUUGCCGAUCAUAAAUAUGUAUACUUGCACACGUGUUUGUUCUUCAAAUAGUACACCAUUUUCAGUCUGCAGGUCAGAAUUCUGUAAAUGACCUGAACCAUGUACGUUCAUCUUUCUGUAUUCUACUUAAAUAUAAAAUUCACUGCUUGAGAUGGACUGUGUCUCCAUGUCUGUCUGGAUUCUGGAACUGGCUGCUUUUGUAGAGAAGGAAAUCCUAAAUGUUUUCUCUAGGUCAUACCAAUGUUUUUAAGAUAGCAGCACACUAUGCAUGGACAACUUAUUGAUGGCGAGGGUUCACAUGAUUGUAGAGCUUCAACAGGUGUAAGGGAAGGAGCUUCUUUUAGGUGGCUGAUUAAUUCCAAAAGUAGCCAACAGUUGUGCAGCUAGUGGAACUGUCUGAUUCUCAAUGUUGGAGAUCAGGAGGGAAAUUCAAGAACUUUCAUGAUGGAACACUAGUGAAUUGUUUUCAAUCAAAUUCUUUUACCUUGUCAUAAAUAAUGGGUUGUUCAAUUGGCAAUCAAUGAUAGAAUUGUUAGCAUUUAAAACAUGAGGAAUAGGAAGCCAGUCUCUGGCCUAAAUUGUAUAUUGUGUAAUCUGAGACAGGAAAUGAUGAGCUUUUUUUCUUAAAAGAAA